GUUGUGAAGAUGCUGUGGUUGGGCAAGUCAGCUGAGAGGGCUUCGGGAGACAAGAUCUCGUGGCCAGUUAAGUGUUACAGGGUGACCAGCAGCAGCAGCUAAAUCACGCCUGAGGCUAAGAGUCUCACAGAGCGUUUAAAUCAGAGAAGAUAAUCCCGUUCCCAGAUCUCUGACCAUCCCACGGGAAGGGCUGGUCCUGCUGAUUUCACCUGCCGGGCCUCCUGGGUGAACCUGGAAAGCACUGAGCUCGCGGGAGCAUCUCACAGCUGCAGUCAACUUCAGCAAACAUGCAUAUAUGUUUCUCAUUUCCAGAUUUUAAUUUGUCUCUGUGUCUUGGGAUGUUGCAGGGAUUUCAUUUUUGUCAGCCGUUUUUCCUUCUUUGUAUUUAAAUAUAAA
Long non-coding RNA from Talpa occidentalis (Iberian mole), 396 nucleotides. RefSeq lists it as uncharacterized. The transcript has 3 exons. The record is from RefSeq and is a predicted model, not a curated record. NCBI's taxonomy places the organism in Eukaryota, Metazoa, Chordata, Mammalia, Eulipotyphla, Talpidae.